UACGUAGGGCGCAAGCGUUGUCCGGAAUUAUUGGGCGUAAAGAGCUUGUAGGCGGUUUGUCGCGUCUGCUGUGAAAUUUCGGGGCUCAACCCCGAACUUGCAGUGGGUACGGGCAGACUAGAGUGUGGUAGGGGAGACUGGAAUUCCUGGUGUAGCGGUGAAAUGCGCAGAUAUCAGGAGGAACACCGACGGCGAAGGCAGCUCGCUGGGACGGUACUGACGCUGAGGCGCGAAAGCGUGGGGAGCGAACAGG
This 253-nucleotide ribosomal RNA is filed under the name uncultured bacterium. RNAcentral describes it as "partial 16S ribosomal RNA". It matches the Rfam family "Bacterial small subunit ribosomal RNA", at positions 524 to 776 of the family's 1533-position model. The record is from RNAcentral.